UACGUAGGGGGCUAGCGUUGUCCGGAAUCAUUGGGCGUAAAGCGCGUGUAGGCGGCCCGGUAAGUCCGCUGUGAAAGCCCGGGGCUCAACCCCGGGAGGCGGAUGGAUACUGUUUGGCUCGAGUCCGGAAGAGGCGAGUGGAAUUCCCGGUGUAGCGGUGAAAUGCGCAGAUAUCGGGAGGAGCACCAAUGGCGAAGGCAGCUCGCUGGGACGGUACUGACGCUGAGACGCGAAAGCGUGGGGAGCAAACAGG
This 253-nucleotide ribosomal RNA is filed under the name uncultured bacterium. Its description in RNAcentral is "partial 16S ribosomal RNA". It matches the Rfam family "Bacterial small subunit ribosomal RNA", at positions 524 to 776 of the family's 1533-position model. The record is from RNAcentral.